CACGUAGGGCGCAAGCGUUGUCCGGAAUUAUUGGGCGUAAAGAGCUCGUAGGCGGUCUGUUACGUCUGCUGUGAAAACCCAGGGCUUAACCCUGGGCUUGCAGUGGAUACGGGCAGACUAGAGGCAGGUAGGGGAGAAUGGAAUUCCCGGUGUAGCGGUGAAAUGCGCAGAUAUCGGGAGGAACACCGGUGGCGAAGGCGGUUCUCUGGGCCGAAACUGACGCUGAGGAGCGAAAGCGUGGGGAGCGAACAGG
This 253-nucleotide ribosomal RNA is filed under the name uncultured bacterium. Its description in RNAcentral is "partial 16S ribosomal RNA". It matches the Rfam family "Bacterial small subunit ribosomal RNA", at positions 524 to 776 of the family's 1533-position model. The record is from RNAcentral.